AGCUUUGCGCAGUGGCAGUAUCGUAGCCAAUGAGGUUUAUCCGAGGCGCGAUUAUUGCUAAUUAAAUAUAUACAUAUGAAAAGAUUAAAAUUUCAAAAAAGAAGGUACAAAAUAGUAGUUGUCACUUAUCAUGGUGA
Molecule: small nuclear RNA, 137 nt
Organism: Mirounga angustirostris (Northern elephant seal)
Lineage: Eukaryota; Metazoa; Chordata; Mammalia; Carnivora; Phocidae
Product: U4 spliceosomal RNA
Exons: 1
Source: RefSeq, a predicted model, not a curated record